UUUCUCCGUGGUAGUUGUCUGCAGACUGCAGAACUGCUAAAACACUAGUUAAAUGGCUAAGCCGAUGCUAAAUUCGACACCGAAAUUAAAGGAUUAUAUAUUUGCCGAAAAACUUGGCAGUGGGAGUUAUGCAACUGUAUAUAAAUCAUGUAGAAAGACUGGUGUUAGAGAAGUGGUGGCUAUUAAAUGUGUAUUGAAAAGUACACUAAACAAAAGAUCAACAGAAAAUUUACUCACUGAAAUUGAAUUAUUGAAAAAAUUAAAACAUGAACACAUUGUAGAGUUGAAAGACUUCUUGUGGGAUGAUAAAUUCAUUUAUCUCAUCAUGGAGUAUUGCAUUGGUGGAGACUUAUCACACUUCUUGAGAAAGAAGAGAGCUUUGCCAGAACUUGCUGUACGUCGGUUCCUGCAACAAAUAGCACUUGCCAUUCAUUUUUUAUGGAGUAAUAAUGUUGCUCACAUGGACCUAAAACCACAGAACAUACUCUUAACUUCCUCAGAGAACCCAAUACUAAAGAUUGCAGAUUUUGGAUUUGCUAAACAUAUAUUAGAAGGUACUGAAAUGCAUUCUAUGAGAGGUUCUUUAUUAUAUAUGGCACCAGAAAUCCUCUGCAAGCGGAAAUAUGACAGUCGAGUGGACCUGUGGUCUAUAGGCGUCAUUUUUUAUGAGUGCCUUUUUGGCCAAGCACCAUUUGCAUCGAGAAGUUUUACAGAACUGGAAGAAAAAAUCACUGGUAGCUGGCCUAUUGCGCUUCCAUAUGGAGUUGAAGUUUCAGACAAUUGUCGUGAUUUACUCCUCUCCUUGUUAAAAAGGGACCCAGAGAAACGGAUCAAAUUCACUGAGUUUUUCUGCCAUCCAUUUAUUGAUCUGGUUCAUGCGCCAUCUUCAGAAUCUUUGGAAAAAGCUACUAAAUGUAUUAGCACUGCUGUGACCGAAGAUAAAGCUGGUAAUAUUCCCACAGCUUUGGAACAUUACAGUGAUGCACUGGAACAUUUCGUGGCAGCAGUACACUAUGAAAGAGACUUUAUGAAGAAGAAAGCCCUACAAGAAAAGGUACAAACAUAUUUUAAUCGUGCAGAGGAGUUGAAGCAAACUUUAAAACCCAAAUCAUCACCUAAUCAGAAGACCCUCCAACGAAGUACCAGUUGCAGCGCUGCUGAGACCUCGUCACUAAAACCACUUGAUGAACUAAUGAUCCUUUGCACCAAUGACAAAGACCUUUUAAAUUCAAUACAGCAACUUAAACUAGCUGACAAUGAGGUUAAGAAGGAAAAUUAUAAAGCAGCUUUGAGUCACUAUGAAGGGUCUUUGGAGGUCUUAUUGAAAAUAUUAAAAAGUGAACCAAAAGGCAAGAGAAAAGAUUUACUACACCAAGAGGCAUAUAAAGCAUUGGAUAAAGCUGAAGAGAUUAAACGGUAUCAAUCUGUACCAAAGUUGACACAGAAUGAUAUACCAACUCUUGAUGAAGAAUCACAAAUGACAACUUUCCAUCAUGUCAAAGAAGACCGAGAGAACUCUGGAGGAGGAAAACAGAGGUUUUAAUGAGGAUUGGAAACUGCAAUAUUAUUUUUUGUCUGCUAAAGAUAAAAUGAUUUGCUUGCUUUGUGACACUGCAUAUCAACGUUGAAAAAUUUCUAUGCUCAUCAGCAUUAAGCCACUUCUAAAGGUCACAAAUAUUUCAGACUAGAAGAAGAGAUGUGAAAGGUUGCAUUAUGGGAAAGCAAAAGCAAAUGCAGUUAUUUCAAGCAGUGGUAAGACCUGGAAAUAAUGCCACAAAAGCAACUUAUAAAGUAGCUUAUAUGUGUGGGGAAAAAAAGGAAGCCAUUCCCCUGAAUGGCUUCCUUGGAAAUCAUAAAAGAAUGCAUUGUAGAAGUUGCAGGAUACUUAACCCACCAUAAGGUCUCAAAGUACAAACAACUGCCUCUUUCAAGGAGAACCAUAACUGACCAGCAGCAUGAAUUAACAGAACAACUUCACACAAUACUCCAAAAGGAAAAUAUAUAUUAUUUAAUUACUUUGCAUGAAUCCAUUAAUACAACUGACUCAGUGCAGGUUUUUAUACUUCAUUUGAGCCACAACAGAAUUGUAUUUUAACCUCAUGUAGUUGAUGUCUCCAAAGCUCCUAAAGAAUUACAGAUAGAAUUAAUUGAGCUCUCAGAAGAUGACAUUUUAAAGUUCUUAUUUAAUACUGAGAAAGAUCUCAUUGAAAUAUGGAAAAAUGCUUGUCCUUGGUAAUAAGCACAAAAAAUGCUUUCUUGCUUUUCAACCACUUAUUGCUGCAAAUCUACAUUCUCCUGCAUAACCAAAAUCAAGACACCAUUAAGGUCACAAAUGACAAAUACUCAUCUAGAGGAUCAGCUGAAACUGCAGAUUUCUAUGUUGCAACCAAAUAUCCAAAGGCUUUCCUACAGCUAACAGUCAACAGAGUCAUUAAAAGGCAUUUGACUGCAGCCAUGCUGGAGCACCGCCUUGAAGGGUUUUAGUCAAACAAAUUGACCCCAGGACUUAUUUCUUAAGCUUAGUACUUAUUUUAUCAGUCGCUUUUGCUGAACUGCUAAGUCACAGGGAUGUAAACACACCAACACCAGUUGUCAAGCGGUGAUAGGGGGACAAACACAUACACAGACACACACACAUAGACAUAUACACAUAUAUGUGUAUGCAUAUAUAUAUAUAUACAACAGGCUUCUUUCAAUUUCCAUCUACUAAAUCCACUCACAUGGCUUUGGUCAGCCCAAUGCUAUAGUAGAAGACACUUGCCCAAAGUGCCACACUGUGGGACUAAACCUGGGAGCAUGUACUUGGGAAGCAAGCUUCUUACCACACAGCCACACCCACACUUAUACACCAUUUUCAUGAGUAGAGAUAUGAAAACAUCCUUCAAAGAGAUAGGGCAACCUGGUUUUAUGUAACAACAUCAGUAUACAAUAUAUAACAUUCAAAAGUGGUGAGCUGGCAGAAUCAUUAGCAUGCAAGACAUUUCAUCUGCUUUUACAUUCAGGGUUCAAAUGCUGGAGGGGUUGACUCUGUCUUUUAUCCUUUCAAGGUUGAUAAAAUAAGUACUGGUUGAGCACUGGGGUUAGUGUAAUUGACUUAGUCCCUCCUCUAAAAUUUCUGGCCUUGUGCCAAAAUUUGACACAAAUUUAUAGCAUUUUUAUAACAUUCAUAUUACAUGGUCACAUGGGUUGGAUGGUGUAAUAAGAUCAUUCAUUAAUUCAUACUCACACAUACAUAUAACAUUUCAAUUAUAAUCACACACACACACACACACACACACACACACACAUGUUGAGAUAGGUAUUUACUUGCAAUUAAUAAACAUACAUUUAGCUUUGCUGUGCAAAUAGAAACCACACACAAUAGAAUCACAAGUAACUUGAGUAGUUUCACCUCUCGGGAGUGUUGAGUUCAUCUGUUCUACUGAAAAAGAGAGAGAAAGCAUUGCAUACUGCUUCAUAUGAAAAUGACUUUGAAUACACAGUUCACUUUCUAUGAAGUUGCAGGUUCUUUCCAAUUGCAUGACAUCUUUAGCAAGAGUCUUCUACUUGAAAAGUAGAUAGAGGUUGGUGAGAGAAAAUGCAGUAAGUAUUCAUCCAGCUGAUGCCUCCAUCAAAAGUAGACUUAGACUGAAAGGACAAACAUAUCUCUUAUCUUUAACUUGUUUGUCUUUAGAUUGCGGCCAUGCUGGGGCACCACCUUGAAGAAUUUUUUGUUAAAUGAGUUGACCCAGUGCUUUUUUUUUAAUAAGCCUGGUACUUAUUCUAUCAAUCUCUUUUGCUGAACUUUUAAGUUACAGGGACAUAAACACACCAACAUCAGUUGAAAAGAGGUGGUGGGGUAGAAAUGCAGACACAAUGUCAUACACACAUAUAUAUAAUAAGCUUCUUUCAGUAUCUGUCUACCCAAUCCACUCACAAGGCUUUGGUUGACCUGAGGUGUCACACAAUGGGACUGAACCCAAAAUCAUAUGGUUGGGAAGCAAGCUUUUUACCACACAGCUUUGCUUGCACCUAUAUAUAUAUAUAUAUAUAUAUAUAACUACUAUCACUGCUAACCAGUACCACUUCUACUUUACUACUAUCACCACAACAACUAAAAGUUCUGUCGCUAAUACUAAUACUACAAAUACUACUAAUGCCACCACCACUACUACUACUACUACUACUACUACUGUCAUCAUCAUCAUCAUCAUCAUCAUUUAUUGAGCUGACAGAAUUGUUAGCAUACCAUGCAAAAUACUUAAUGGUGUUUUCUCUGUCGCUAUGUUCUGAGUUCAAAUUCCGCCAAGGUCAACUUUGCCUUUCAUAUAUCAACAAGUCUGUGUCAUAUAUAUAUAAGACAUAUAUUUGUGUGUGCCCUCUAUGGACAACCAAACCGCUGGUGAGAUGGUACCAGCUCUCAAUGAUCUCAUAAUGCAUGUGCUCCAAAACAUUGCGCAAAACUUUAGCAACAGUCAAUGGCUCUGUGUGUGAACCUCCAUCUAAUGACGCUGUCGAUAAAGUCAACUGGGAUCUCUUGCAGCUGUUGCCAAGGCAAGAACAGUCUUUCACGUCCCUUGACACUAUCAUUGAUCAGGACCAGGCUUUAGUUUUUCCAACUGAGUUCCUGAACUCUCUACAACCAUCUGGGAUGUCACCUCACCACUUAACACUUAAAAAGGGGGCCCCAAUCAUGCUGCUAAAGAAUCUGGAUCCACCUCAUCUGUGCAAUGGCACCAGAAUGGUGGUGAAAACUAUGAGAGUGAAGAUGUUUUCAUUCCAUGCAUCCCGUUAAUCCCAUAUAACCGCCCCUUUGAAUUUAAACAGUUCCAGUUCCCAGUGAAACUGAGUUUCACUAUGUCAAUAAACAAAUCUCAAGGACAGUCUCUCAAGGUUGUUGGACUUCACCUUGCUUCUCUCAUGGGCAAUUAUAUGUAGGAUGUUCAUGAGUUGGAAGUCCCCAAAAAAUUUUCAUGUAAACACCAAUUAAAGGAAACACUUAAAACAUUGUAUAUUUAGAAGUUCUAGAUAAUUGAAGUGUGAUUCAUUUAGGGAUCUGUUUCAAUACAUUUGUUUAUAUUCAUGUCAUCCGAUAGAAUUUUUGUUAAAUGUAUUUAUUAAUAGUAGUACCACACUUUGCAGUGUAUAAUUUCUUUCACUUCAUUUUAUCCCUGUAAAACAAUCUGUUCCUUUUUGGGUUUGUAUUUAUGUGGGGUAUGUAUUUUGAUAUUGUGUGUGGAUUACAGUUAUACAGGAUACUCUGUAACUAUCCAUCCUUAAUAUAGCUAAGUGCACUAUCAUUUAAUACAUUGUGAUACCCAGCCUCCACAUCACUGGAUAUGAUGCAGUUACCCACCCUCUACAUUGCUAGGUAUGUUGUAAUUACCUAUCCUCCACAUCAUUGGAUAUGCUGUGGAUCUCACUUUAGGUAUUUUGUAACUCCUCUCACUUCACCUUCUUUAGAUAUAGUGUGACUACCCACAGUCCAAAUUUUGAGGUAUGCUGUAGCAGCCUGCCUCCACAUUGUUAGAUAUGUUGCUGUAGCUGUUCGCUUCCACAUUGCUUGUCAUACUGUGAUCACCCCCCAAACACACACAUUGUUAGACAUGGUAGAUAUGUGUAUUUGACAUUCAUGUUGUUUGGCAUAAAUAAACUGUAGGUUGAGACAUUAUAAAAAAAUAUCACCACAAUUAUCUCUCUGAUUAUCCUUGGUUAGUAAUACAUGAGUAGUGAAUGUAUUGAACAGUGGCAUAAUUUAUUAGUUUAAACACUACCAUAGACUUCAUUAUGUUCAAAACAACGUCCUGUUUCUCAGUUUAUUUCAACAAAUCAUGGUUGUAUAGUUACUAUUGUAAAGGGUGUCCAUUUAAAAAAAAAAAAAAUUUGUUUCAAAGGCAGUGGCAUGGUUGUGUGGUAAGAAGCUUGAUUCCUAACCACAUGGUUCUGAGUUCAGUACCACUGCAGGACACCUCAGGCCAAUCAAAGCCUUGUCAGUGGAUUUAGUGGGUGGAAACUGAAAGAAGCCAAGCAUAUAUAUAUAUAUAUAUAUAUAUAUAUAUAUAUCGUUGCCAGUGCCCCUGGACUGGCUUGUGCGGGUGGCACAUAAAAGACACCAUUUCGAGCGUGGCCAUUUUCGUGCGGGUGACACGUAAAAGCACCCACUACACUCUCUGAGUGGUUGGCGUUAGGAAGGGCAUCCAGCUGUAGAAACUCUGCCAAAUUAGAUUGGAGCCUGGUGUUGCCAUCCGGUUUCACCAGUCCUCAGUCAAAUCGUCCAACCCAUGCUAGCAUGGAAAGCGGACGUUAAAUGAUGAUGAUGAUGAUGAUGAUAUAUAUAUAAUGCAUGUGUGUGUGUGUCUUUGUAUCUGUGUUUGUCUACUACCACUGCUUGACAACUGGUUUUGUGUUUAUGUUCCCUUAACUUAGCAGUUCGGCAAAAAAGACCAAUAGAAUAAGUACCCAGUUUUUAAAAAAUUAUAUAUAAGUACUAGGGUUGAUUCAUUUGACAAAAAAAUGUUUUUCAGGGUAAUACCCCAGCAUGGCUGCAGUCUAAUGACUGAAACAAGUAAAAGAUAAAUCUGAUUUUGCAAAAACACCUAACCUUUAGCAACAUUCAAAGUGAUUAUAAAGAUGUUAUUUUGAAGCCAUACAAAAAUAAAAAAUAUCCACAGUAUAGAAAACUAGACAGACAUGCCAAAAUAGGUAACCCUGGUAGAUUAUACUGAAGAAGUAUGAGGUGAAAUAAACUGGUCUUCCAUUUUAGACAGAUAUGUCAUUUUGUUGCUCAUCUAAUAAUCUUGAAAACAAGUGAUGUAUAGUUUCAAAAAUCUUAGUUGUGAAAUAUUACUAAUACUAGCAUACCCAUGUCAUCAAAAAUAUCAGCAGUUUUAUUAGUGACUAAAAAUGGUGCAUCAAAACAUUAAAUGAAACUACUGAUAAAUGUCAACAAUUAUAUGUACAUACAUAGAACUGAAGCAUUUGAACAAUCAGAUAUGGGUAUAAUGCCUCAGUUGGAAAUAUUUCAUCUAUGUGUGUGUCCUCUCGUGCGUGUGUGUGUGUGAAACAUCCACUAAUACAGGGGUUUUGUUGAACGAAUCAACAGUUGAUGCCAGUACUUUUUUUAGCCUGGUACUUAUUUUAUCACUCUCUUUUACCAAACUGCAAAGUUAUGGGGGCGUAAACAAACCACAAGGUCAUGGGGGAUAAAUGCAGGCACAAAAACACACACACAGGUGUAUAUACAACAGGUUCCUUUUAGUUUCUGUCUACCAAAUCCACUCAAGGCUUUGGUCAGCCUGGGGCUAUAGUAUGAUUGAGAUGCAAACUUCUAACCACACUGCCAUACACACAUGUGUAAAUACACACACACAUGCACAUAUAUCAAUGCAUGUGCAUACAUAUACAUAAGUGUGUGUAUGUGAAUGUGUUAUCUUUUACUUGGAAAAAUAUAUAAGGGUUUCCUAAGCAAGGCAAGAUUAAAAGAAUAAACUAAAAUGAAAGAAAAAUAAAGACAAGGCAAAAUCUAUAAAUGCUACAUGAACUAUAUUUUGAAAACAAAAGAGUGUAAAUAUGUAAUUUCAUAUAUAUUUUUAUGUGUGUAUGCAAUUGUUAAAAUAAAUAUUAUUACGAUAAAAAUU
Molecule: unclassified non-coding RNA, 7616 nt
Organism: Octopus bimaculoides (California two-spot octopus)
Lineage: Eukaryota; Metazoa; Mollusca; Cephalopoda; Octopoda; Octopodidae
Source: RefSeq, a predicted model, not a curated record